GCUUCUAAAAUCAAUUUUAAUCCAGAAAACAGCCUUAAGAAACAUCAGUCUGGCAGCUAUUGAUUGCCAUUUAGGGCAAGGAUGCUACAAACCAUUUAUAUCAAGACCAUGACUUAGUCAUGAGAAUCAGCUUAAACCCAGUUGUACUUUGUCUUUGAGAGUUAUCCAUGGAGUAGGAAACCACUAAAACCCCCAAAGAACCUCAAACAUUUGAAGUCAUGAGUUAUUCCCAUAGUAAGAUCAAAAGUUCAAACAUUUAGACAAAGAAACCAUUGAUGGUGAUAUAAAACAUGUCACACCAACUUAAGCA
Molecule: long non-coding RNA, 310 nt
Filed under: Bos taurus (domestic cattle)
Lineage: Eukaryota; Metazoa; Chordata; Mammalia; Artiodactyla; Bovidae
Description: long non-coding RNA NONBTAT011806
Source: RNAcentral